Molecule: non-coding RNA, 5352 nt
Organism: Phalacrocorax carbo (great cormorant)
Lineage: Eukaryota; Metazoa; Chordata; Aves; Suliformes; Phalacrocoracidae
Source: RefSeq, a predicted model, not a curated record
CUCCCUCCCUCCCUCCCUCUCUCUCUCUUCCUCCUCCUCCUCCCUCCUCCUCCUCCUCCUCCCGCGCCCAGCCUGCAGCCGGGAUCUCAGUAUUAUGGCAUCGAGGAGAAUGGAGACCAAACCCGUGAUAACGUGUCUGAAAACCCUCCUCAUCAUCUACUCCUUCGUCUUCUGGAUCACAGGCGUUAUCCUCCUUGCAGUCGGAGUCUGGGGCAAGCUCACCCUCGGCACGUACAUCUCUCUCAUUGCUGAGAACUCCACCAAUGCCCCCUACGUGCUCAUCGGGACGGGUACCACAAUCAUUGUCUUCGGGCUUUUUGGCUGCUUUGCCACUUGUCGUGGCAGCCCAUGGAUGCUGAAACUGUACGCCAUGUUCUUGUCCCUGGUGUUCCUGGCUGAGCUAGUGGCUGGCAUUUCAGGGUUUGUGUUUCGCCACGAGAUCAAGGAUACUUUCCUUAGGACAUAUACUGAAGCAAUCCAGAAUUACAACAAGAACGAUGAGCGGAGCCAUGCAGUGGAUAACGUACAGGAAAGUCUGAGCUGCUGCGGCAUUCAGAGCUACACCAACUGGAGCACCAGCCCUUACUUCUUCAAACAUGGCAUCCCUACAAGCUGUUGCAUGAACUCCAGUGACUGUAAUACUCAGGAUCUGCGCAACAUGACUGUGGCUGCCACUAAAGUAAACCAGAAGGGCUGUUAUGACUUGGUGACCAGUUUUAUGGAGACAAAUAUGGGAAUCAUAGCUGGAGUGGCUUUUGGGAUUGCGUUCUCACAGUUGAUCGGGAUGCUGCUGGCAUGCUGUCUGUCCCGGUUUAUUACUGCUAACCAGUAUGAGAUGGUGUAACAAGUCUUUCAGGAGUGCGAAGUCCAGAGCCUGUCUCAAGAUCAGCAGCUGCAGAAUUGGAGAAAGACUGAAACGAAUGUUAUAGCACACACUGUCUCUCGCACGCACGCACGCACGCACACCCACACCCCCACAAGCAAGCACGUGCGCGCGCGCACUUGCACCCCACCUCCCGAACUUUGUCCCAUGCGUAGUGUACCAUUCUGUGAAGUACCGCGGUGCCACCGAGAGCAGCCGGGUCCCCUCGGCCUCCGGACCCCGACUCCAUCCCCGCGGCUCGGCGUAGGACGGCACCGUAUAUAUGUUCUUGGUCACUCAGUAGUUGCAUCGUAAGUUAACAAAGACCUCCACAACUAGAACAUCCCAAGACCUCAUGGCUGCAAAGCUCCACUCCUGCUGCAGUGAAGAAAAUAUCAGAGAACAGUGAAAGAGCAUAACUUACACCAGGAGAGAUCUCUGUGCCAUUAUUUUUUCAAUUAAAUUACACAGAAAAAUAUCUUAGUAAUUCAAAGCCUCUUCGUAGUGACCCAGCUUCAACAUUAUCUGAAUAUUAUGUUCAUCCCUUAUUUAGUGAGGCUGUUGGUCAGUUCAGGGGAGGAAUGGAGUGAAACCCCCUCCUCAACCCUGGGAGAACUGGGAUAAGUCUAAAAGAUUUGCCAGUGGUACCGUCUCCAAUGCAGCGUGCAGUAGCAGUAUGGGGUAUGUACCUUCUUAUACAUGUAAGAAGGCAGGCUUCUGAAUGCUGUUCUGAACAUGACCUUAAAACACACACAAUAAUAUGUUUUAUAGAUAUAUAUAUUCUGGUAGUCUCUUUGAUGCUGUGGAAGCCAAAUAUCUAGUGAUGGAAAAGACCCCUUUGGCACCUUAGACUGCUGAACGCUCUAAGUGUUUCCUCAGAACCCACCAUUUACUCUAGUUUGAGGCAAGGAACGUAGUUUAGGAUUUUUUACUGACUUUUCUGGGUGCGACCCAGGCACAAUGAGCACAGGGAGACUGCUGAUUUACCUUUCAGUGGUGUCAUUUUGCCGGGAAGCUGAAGAGGAGCCGGCUUUUGUUCUGAACCCCACACAGCCCUUCACCCCACGGUAGUGACGGGGAGUCUGGCAGUUCGUCUGCCCGAUCCCAUUUCUUCCUGCAGGCACCACGUUAUAUAUCCCUCACAAGCCUGACCACAGCUUUCAGAAACAUCCAAUAAAUCAACAGUUAAAAGGGAAGAGUAGACAUGGGGAGCAGGUGCUUAUUAUCUGUGCAUCUCUGGAGAAGAAUAACCCACAGUGUAUUUCCAUGCCCAUUUGAAAUGGAAUAUGACCAUGACCCUGCAAGUGGCUCUGCUCGAAUUGUUCCUGGCAUCAUGUUUUACUCCUAAUAUUUUCAUUGUCUGCCUCCAUCAGUUUUACCUCCCACCGUAGCAUUAAUUUUGUAUGUGAAUAUGGAGGCUGUGCUUUAAAUAAUACAGCAUAUGCUUUUUAUUUGCCAUGUAGAAUAAUAUUUUUUUGGCUGAUUUAUGUUCCACCUGGACAAAAUUAUUUUUUAUGAUGGGUUUAUUUCAUUUGCUCCCACAUCCCCAAAAUGGGGGGGGGGGGGGGGGGGGGGGGGAGCGAGAUCUUGUAAACCACCAAUAAUGAUGGACACAGAAAUCUGCUUUCAAAUACAAAUUUACUGCAAAAACAGAUUCUCUCCAGCCAUGUAAAUGAAAAAUGCUGUUGUAAUGAUUUUAAGCUCACAAACGCAUGGUACUACUGGAGAGAGUAAUCUUCAGGCUCUUGUAUCAUCCCUUACACAAUGCUGAGAGUAUGGAGAAAUUCACUGACAGCUAUAAGCUAUUCCAGUAGAGCAAAAUUACACAUAUGGCUAGAGCAUGGAUUUAAUUUAGCUCUUUUCAGAACUUCAUCAAGAAACAAAGCCAGGACAAAACCCUGUGGUCUUUCAGUUUGCAGAUUUGCCACAGAACUUCGUAGGCUAAGCUGCCAAAUCUACCUCAUUUCCAGGACUGGAAAAAUACGUUACUUGCCAUUGAAACAAGUUAGUUACAAACAGAUAAUCUGGGUUUUAAUGAUUAAAAAAACAAAAAAUGUGUGAUGUACCUUGUUUUGUGUUUUACAGCCCUGGAACAGACUGGCAGUAUUUUUAUGCUAAUCUAUCACCUCCAGAAAUGCUCAUUAUGAACAGAUUUCUUAAAAAAAAAACCCAGCCAUAUGCAAUCCGUAGCACAACUUUGUUCUGAUUUUGACUUCCAGCUUUUGGUGCUUUUUGUAAAGCUACUAAAUAUUAAUCAUACAGAUCCAUAAUAGUCAUAGCAGUCAGAAAGGUCUGGUUCUAUUUUUGGUUGUAAUAGUCGUCUUCAACCGUACAACAUCCUCCAGACAAAACCACAUUGUAAUAGGAGUGCAUAUCAUAAGGACACAUAACGCCUCCAUGUCAGCUCUGAACUGCAGAGCUGAGAAAAGCAGGGUACUCCUUCAGAGCAGCUUCCCUUUUAAUACUGAGGGUAACAAGAGGAGAUAGGACUUUCACAGGAAAAUCCUGCUGCUUCUAGUCCCAUCCCACAACUCCGCAUCAGAUGGUAGAAAUCCAAGCUGCUGUCUCCCCCUUGGCAUCUUCUGGCAGCAGCCGGAAGAUUUGUUUCCACACAGGCCCUCUCCUCCCCGCACAAUGCUCUGUUCCAGCCCCUCAUCCUGCCACGUCCCGAAUCCUUGAUCCACCAGCUAGCAUGGAAAGCUUCAGCGAAGGUGGGCCACCUUUGUUCUGCUCCAUCUUCCUCUCUUUCUGAGCACUGAGAAGAGUGAAAAAUUUAUCAACAGCAAGCUGGGUACUGAAAAUCAGGUCACUGGUUUAAAACGAGGAGCAUUCAUCUAUAGGAUGAACGCUUAUUGCAUUUGUUUCACCAUCGUGCCAGCCCCGGGCCUUUCAAACAAAACCAGAGCUCUCGUUCUCGCACAGACUCCUCGGGAUGGAGGCAGCUCCUGCAGGAAUCGUAAGCAUGCAGACGGGAAGGGAAAGGGAAACAGUAUAAAAAAGCUACAGUAGAUGGUGCUAGACAGGUGCAGAAGACAGCAGCUAGUCAUUUGAGGAUACCUGCAAGAUUUACCCCUAAGCUAAGCGGUUUAGAAAAUGUGCAAUUUAGAUUUAUCAGUUCAGAAGGGAGAUUCAGAUAAAAACAGUUGAGCUGGUGAGAUUAUUAAAUGCAGAACCCCACGCUGAGACGAUGCUCACCCUAUAUGUGCUGACAAAGGGGAAAAAGGGCAUCAGGCCCCACCCCCACCCCCGCCUGCACCCCGGCAGCCACACGGAAGGCAAGGUGCGGCAGAGCGGUGGGAGGAGAGGGGGCAAGUCACGGGCAGGGACCUUCCUUCACCCAGGAACUUCUCUUGGGAGCUUGACAUGACACCCUUCCCGCACCUCGGGAUGGGGACGGCAGAACCAGCAGGAACGCUGCAGGUUAUGGUCAGAGCGGGAAGCGGAGGUCGGUAUUUCCUGAUGUCAGCCCUUGCGUAUCAAACCGUUAAUGUCACAGAAAGGUGGUCUUGUGUAUUUAAUUUUAUCAGGCGGAAGAACUCUGAUAUAUGCUGCGCUCGGUUCACCGCUCCCGUGCAGAUUUACUCGGCAUUUUAGCAUGCGUGCUGCCUCGCUGACAGAGAUUAAAGGCUCUCCUCAGAGCCCCAGGUAUUACGCUCAAAUGCAUAAAUCAGGGCUUAAUAUAUAAUAUUUGUCCAUAAAAAUAUAUCACGAUGGCAUUCGUUUGGCCAUCUGCAUAUUAAAUACCGUUACAGAACGUCACAAGUUUAUCGAGGAUUAUUUUGCUAUGCCAGUAAAGUCUCCCACCAUCCUAAACAGGUACCUCUUCCACCAGACCGUGGGCCGGGUUGCAAAGAGGAAGGGGCAGAUGUUGCCAACGCCAUUUGUGACCCCACACGUGCCCCAGCCAUGCGGUGCUGUGCCAGGAACCCGCUCCCAGGCCGGCCCUGGGCUCUGGCUUGCCAGUGCUGGCGGGGCAGGGCAGGGAUCACGGCGGAGAUGACACCGUGAGCUUCUAAAGGAGAAAAUUGCAUGAUGUAUUGCCACUCACGAGCACCCACUAGAGAGCUGUUUAGAGUGAGAUUACAGCCUCAGAGGAGACUCUCAUGCCUCUCGGUCACAGGGUUGCUACGAUGAUGCAGCCGCAGCUUGUAUGCUGGAGGUAAGGAGGGAUUUAAAUGAUGGCCAGAAAGAAAAGCUGGAUCAAACCUCCACAAACCCCGUUUGGAUUAACCCAGAUUCCCGCAUCCCCAGCUUUGAGGGACUUGAAAUCAUCCAAUUUGACUCUUCUCCCUUAAACAGAAGAAAAAUGGGAGGAAGAGAAUGAAGUUUAGACUUCGGCCAAGAGUUUACAAAGCAGCAUUUUCAGACUGAAGGGAAACAAAGAUGCCCAAAAUAAGAGUUUGUGCAGUCUGGAGGCCUUGACCCUACUCACACCAAUUCCAUAUUAGCACGGCUAUGUCUAUUUCUCCACGUUUGCUGCUGACUUACAG